UAUCCCUACGGGACGCAGCAGUGGGGAAUAUUGCACAAUGGGGGAAACCCUGAUGCAGCAACGCCGCGUGAGUGAAGAAGUCAUUCGUGAUGUAAAGCUCUAUCAGCAGGGAAGAAAAUGACGGUACAUGAGUAAGAAGCCCCGGCUAACUACGUGCCAGCAGCCGCGGUAAUACGUAGGGGGCAAGCGUUAUCCGGAUUUACUGGGAGUAAAGGGAGCGUAGACGGCAGAGCAAGUCUGAAGUGAAAGCCCGCGGCCCAACUGCGUGACUGCUUUGGAACAUGCCCGGCUAGAGUGCUGGAGAG
RNAcentral lists this ribosomal RNA (305 nucleotides) under uncultured bacterium. RNAcentral describes it as "bacterial SSU rRNA". It matches the Rfam family "Bacterial small subunit ribosomal RNA", at positions 334 to 656 of the family's 1533-position model. The record is from RNAcentral.